AUACGGAGGAUCCGAGCGUUAUCCGGAUUUAUUGGGUUUAAAGGGAGCGUAGGUGGACAUGUAAGUCAGUUGUGAAAGUUUGCGGCUCGACCGUAAAAUUGCAGUUGAUACUGUGUGUCUUGAGUACAGUAGAGGUGGGCGGAAUUCGUGGUGUAGCGGUGAAAUGCUUAGAUAUCACGAAGAACUCCGAUUGCGAAGGCAGCUCACUGGACUGUUACUGACACUGAGGCUCGAAAGUAUGGGUAUCAAACAGGAUUAGAUACCCUGGUAGUCCACACAGUAAACGAUGAAUACUCGCUGUUUGCGAUAUACGGCAAGCGGCCAAGCGAAAGCAUUAAGUAUUCCACCUGGGGAGUACGCCGGCAACGGUGAAACUCAAAUGAAUUGACGGGG
RNAcentral lists this ribosomal RNA (393 nucleotides) under uncultured bacterium. Its description in RNAcentral is "partial 16S ribosomal RNA". It matches the Rfam family "Bacterial small subunit ribosomal RNA", at positions 523 to 918 of the family's 1533-position model. The record is from RNAcentral.